This is a long non-coding RNA of Trachemys scripta elegans, 2440 nucleotides long. RefSeq lists it as uncharacterized. The record is from RefSeq and is a predicted model, not a curated record. The transcript has 2 exons. Lineage: Eukaryota; Metazoa; Chordata; Testudines; Emydidae.
UACUGAGGCCCCCACCAGUGACUGUAUCUCUGAUGGGCAUCACACUUCCAGUGGGGUUCUGAGCACUGGCUGGCCGGGAUGUAGCCCCUGGCUCUGAGUGCUGGGAUCAGCUGGUUCUCCUGCAAAUGGGGAGCAGGGAUCUAGGCCAACCAGCCGGCCACAGGGUGUCACUGUUGCUAUUCACCAGUGUCCCAGCAAAGGGCUGCGUCAGCAGCGGCUGGCUGGGAAUGAACCUGGGUGCGAACAGGUCCGAGCUGGACUUGCUGUCGAGUGAUGCCGAUGCAGAGGGGCAGCGCAGGCCCUGGGGGGCUCUCUCACAGACCUGGACUGAGGAGGUGUGUUCGGAUCUGGACCAGACUCCAGGAGCGGUCUAACGCUGAAUCUGGGUGAGGGGUCUGCAUUUGGAUCCAAAGGAGCCAAAAAUCUCCCAAGCUCAUCUCAUGAAAUUUCAGCACAGACAGGUAGAAAAUGUCAUAAGAGGCACUGAAGAAAAUAUUGCAAGAUUUGCCUGAAUGGUGGGGCUCUUGGGAGCUCCACUGUCCUACUGGGAUUUCUGCCAUCUUGGGACAAAGGUACUGAGAACGACAGCUGUAAAAUGGACCCCUUCUGCUGCUGGUUCAAACCUGAAUUCAACACCGUAGGAGCAGGUUCAGAUCCAGGGACUUGAUUCCAUAAACUCCAGCGUACCCUGACAUGCCGAAUGGUUUGGAGUGAAGGUUCCACUCCACUACUGCUUUUUUAAAGGCAAGAUUAGAGAUGUUUGGUAACCCACUGUCUCUUUAAGAAGUGCAAGGGUCAUGUGAUGGCCAGAAGUAGACACACGACCCUUUGAGGCCCAUAAAAAUGAGACCCUACUUUAAGAGGAGUGCUGGGUCCUGCAGGGUAGAAAGACUGCAAUUGCUCUGGUGUGGAGAGGUGAGAAAUGUUGCUUUACCUAUCAGCAUGAUUAGUGGAGCUGGAUGGAAAAGGGGGAUGGAUAAGUUUGAUUAGUGGCAGGAAGUUGAAUACCAAAAAUUCUGGCCAAAAUCCAAAAUAUUUUGGUUUUUAGAAAUGGGUGUUGUAGGUCAGGUGCCUAAUACUCCUAUUUGCCUCUAUAGACUACAUUCUCUGGUUGGACUAUGUUUCCCAUGAUGCACCCUGAUCUUCCGUCUUGGAGAGGUCAUCUAGUGUGUCAUGGGGAGUCCCUGGCUAUGGUGCAACAUGGGAGAUGUAGUUCAUCCAGGAGCCUGGCCCAUAGUGGAAAAUGGAGACACGAGGCAACUGAACUACAAUUCCCAUGAGGCACUGGGAUAGCAUUGUCCAAUUGAAAUAUUUCUGGGUUUGUCCAAAAUAUUUUGGUAUUGGGGUGGUCAGGUUUUUGUUUUUGUUUUUUUCCAAAAACAAAUCAUUUUUUUGUGUGGAAAACAGACACCUUUUGGGAAAAAAUUGUUUCUUGAAAUCCCAGUUUUCUGUCAAAAUAACCAUUUUGGUGGUAAAAUUUUCAAACAGCCCUAAUGGUUGGUUCUUGAUGUGCAUUCACCAUAAGCAAAAAUGACGUGCCUGCUGUUUAGUAGAAGCUAAAUGGGUGUGUGAGUGGCUAUUGCCCAAACUGUCUGGUUAAGCCAAACUCUGUUUUAAUAUGGUACCGGAUGGGAGGAUUAAACAGAAUCGGACUUGAGAGCUAUUCAUGUCUAAAACCGGAAACAGACCCCAAACCAAAACAUCAGUUCACAACAGUGACAGAGCUCAGUUGGCAAGGGUCCCCUGUUCUUUGCAAACAACUCUCAUCUCAGACCUGACAAACUCAGUACACCAAACACGUGUCCUGCAGGGUCUUUAUCCAAAGGCUAACAUGUAAGGUGUCUACAGAAAGCUUGUAAUUUAGCAAGAAUCAUGAUCAUUGUGAGAUGUGUGUAUGGGUAACACUCAAGAAAUCAUGUAACAAUGUUGAAAGUCUGCUUUAUGGUCUUGGAUGCAAAUGUUCGUCACCAAGGGUUAAUGUGUUGUGGUGAUGGCCCAUUCAAGCAGGAGGGAGUUGCCACUCUCGCUGGUUAGCUGGUGAUGUAAUGCGAGGCUCCGACGUCUAGCAAUGCUCCAUCCCAAGGCCAUCAGAGAAUUGCAAACAGUCAAACCCACUUGGAGGUGAACAGGACCAUUACAACAGACCAGGGAUCGCCUGGUCUAUGAACAGAGCCAAAAGACUUAACCCAGAGUUGGGAGAGGCCCUCUGUCUCUGGUCACUGAGGAGACGUCUGGUGGAGAGUGGGUUUGGAAGCUGGGUCCUGUAAAGCCAACCAGCCAGUUGGGCAACAGACUGAACUUUGGGGUGUGGGAGAAAUCUACUUUAUUAGUAAGUGUCGGCCCUACUCUGUGUCUUAUGACUUUGUUUGGUAUCGUAACCACUUGUUUCCAGGUGAAUCUCUAGUCUCUUUUAAAUAAAACUACUUUGGUUGUAUUGACA